GACGCUUCAUGAAGGGAAGGACUGAAAUGUCUCCGGACGCCUGGUUUUUCCCCGAUGCCCUUGCGAC
This is a regulatory RNA element of Cavia porcellus (domestic guinea pig), 67 nucleotides long. It matches the Rfam family "Selenocysteine insertion sequence 1". From Rfam's summary of the family: The incorporation of selenocysteine into a protein sequence is directed by an in-frame UGA codon (usually a stop codon) within the coding region of the mRNA. Selenoprotein mRNAs contain a conserved secondary structure in the 3' UTR that is required for the distinction of UGA stop from UGA selenocysteine. Lineage: Eukaryota; Metazoa; Chordata; Mammalia; Rodentia; Caviidae. The record is from Rfam.